GAUGCGAAAGCUGAGGAUUGGAGAGGCUGCCUACUGUGUCCAUUAUUGCAAAGCUAAUACAUGUUAGAGCCAGAGUACGAGCGCCACUGUGUCUGACUCCACUAUACCACACUGCCCUCAAGCUGAAGCUGUUGUACACAGAGCCCUUGGAAGUCUACUUCUGGGUACUUACAUGAGAUGGUAUGUAGAUAUCAUAAGAGUUUCCUGAAUCAACAUCAAUUACAUGGAAACCAGUGUGUGAACCAAAAAUAACCUUUAAUCUUUGACCUUCUUCUACCGUGAGAUCAACUAGCAGAGGCUUGUGCU
Non-coding RNA from Chlorocebus sabaeus (green monkey), 306 nucleotides. The record is from RefSeq and is a predicted model, not a curated record. NCBI's taxonomy places the organism in Eukaryota, Metazoa, Chordata, Mammalia, Primates, Cercopithecidae.